This 270-nucleotide transfer-messenger RNA is filed under the name Bartonella sp. RNAcentral's name for it is "partial ssrA". It matches the Rfam family "Alphaproteobacteria transfer-messenger RNA", at positions 66 to 335 of the family's 355-position model. Rfam says of the family: Bacterial tmRNA, also known as 10Sa RNA or SsrA, is named for its dual tRNA and mRNA-like properties. Its role is to liberate the mRNA from a stalled ribosome. The record is from RNAcentral. Lineage: Bacteria; Pseudomonadati; Pseudomonadota; Alphaproteobacteria; Hyphomicrobiales; Bartonellaceae.
UGGACAAUGAAAUAAACUCGUUGGACCCGGGGGCGGUACCCGGCGCCUCCACCAAGAUAUAGUUUUUUUGCUAUAUUUUGGUGGGGGCGAAAUAGGAUCGACAAGAGUGUAAAGAUUGCUCUUUUACUCGGCAUUGUACCACCGUUAUCGGGCUAAAUGAGUAGUUGCAAAUGACAACUAUGCGGAAGCACGUCUCGCCGCUUAAGGUGGUGUGAAUGUUUCAAAUUAAGCCUUAAACCGUCGCAGGUUUAAGCGGGGUUCGAAGGCACC